UUGUAAAGCUCUGUCAGGAGGGACGAAGCCACUCGGGUGAAUAGCCCAGAGGGUGACGGUACCUCCAGAGGAAGGUCCGGCUAACUACGUGCCAGCAGCCGCGGUAAUACGUAGGGACCGAGCGUUGUCCGGAAUCAUUGGGCGUAAAGCGCGUGUAGGCGGCUUGUCAAGUCCGGUGUGAAAUCUCGGGGCUCAACUCCGAAACUGCACUGGAAACUGGCUUGCUAGAGUCCGGAAGAGGAGAUUGGAAUUCCUGGUGUAGCGGUGAAAUGCGCAGAUAUCAGGAAGAACACCCGUGGCGAAGGCGGAUCUCUGGGACGGUACUGACGCUGAGACGCGAAAGCGUGGGGAGCGAACAGGAUUAGAUACCCUGGUAGUCCACGCCGUAAACGAUGGGCUCUAGGUGUGGGGGGUGUCGACUCCCUCCGUGCCGAAGCUAACGCAUUAAGUGCCCCGCCUGGGGAGUACGGCCGCAAGGCUAAAACUCAAAGGAAUUGACGGGGGCCCGCACAAGCAGCGGAGCAUGUGGUUUAAUUCGACGCAACGCGAAGAACCUUACCUAGGCUUGACAUGGCUCUGUAACAUCUGGAAACAGAUGCCCUCUUCGGAGCAGAGUCACAGGUGGUGCAUGGCUGUCGUCAGCUCGUGUCGUGAGAUGUUGGAUUAAGUCCCGCAACGAGCGCAACCCCUGUCCUAUGUUGCCAGCGGGUAAUGCCGGGGACUCGUAGGAUACUGCCGGUGACAAACCGGAGGAAGGUGGGGAUGACGUCAAGUCAGCAUGCCCCUUAUGUCUAGGGCUACACACGUGCUACAAUGGCCGGUACAAAGGGCUGCGAGACCGCGAGGUGGAGCGAAUCCCAAAAAGCCGGUCCCAGUUCGGAUUGGAGGCUGAAACUCGCCUGCAUGAACGCGGAAUCGCUAGUAAUCGCGUAUCAGCUACGGCGCGGUGAAUGCGUUCCCGGGCCUUGUACACACCGCCCGUCGCACCACGAAAGUCGAUUUUACCUGAAGUCACUGAGUUAACCCGCAAGGGAGGCAGGUGCCGAAGGUAGGGUCGGUGAUUG
Molecule: ribosomal RNA, 1064 nt
Filed under: uncultured Actinomycetes bacterium
Lineage: Bacteria; Bacillati; Actinomycetota; Actinomycetes
Description: bacterial SSU rRNA
Rfam family: Bacterial small subunit ribosomal RNA
Source: RNAcentral